Molecule: ribosomal RNA, 486 nt
Filed under: uncultured bacterium
Lineage: Bacteria
Description: partial 16S ribosomal RNA
Rfam family: Bacterial small subunit ribosomal RNA
Source: RNAcentral
AUUGAACGCUGGCGGCAUGCCUUACACAUGCAAGUCGAACGGCAGCACGCGUGCUUGCUCCUGGUGGCGAGUGGCGAACGGGUGAGUAAUACAUCGGAACAUGUCCUGUAGUGGGGGAUAGCCCGGCGAAAGCCGGAUUAAUACCGCAUACGAUCCACGGAUGAAAGCGGGGGACCUUCGGGCCUCGCGCUAUAGGGUUGGCCGAUGGCUGAUUAGCUAGUUGGUGGGGUAAAGGCCUACCAAGGCGACGAUCAGUAGCUGGUCUGAGAGGACGACCAGCGGCACUGGGAGUGAGACGGGGCCAAGGGUCCUAAGGGAGGCAGCAGUGGGGAAUGUUGGACAAUGGGGGAAAGCCUGAUACAGUAAUGCCGCGUGUGUGAAGAAGGCGUUCGGGUUGUAAAGCACUUUUGUCCGGAAAGAAAUCCUUGACUCUAAUACAGUCGGGGGAUGACGGUACCGGAAGAAUAAGCACCGGCUAACUACGUG